UUUCUCUUCAGCUCAUAUAAAUCUUUUGCCUUUUACUAAAGAUUUCCGAGGAGAGGGA
RNAcentral lists this small nuclear RNA (58 nucleotides) under Suricata suricatta (meerkat). RNAcentral's name for it is "U5 spliceosomal RNA (ENSSSUG00005007164.1)". It matches the Rfam family "U5 spliceosomal RNA", at positions 10 to 67 of the family's 117-position model. Rfam says of the family: U5 RNA is a component of both types of known spliceosome. The precise function of this molecule is unknown, though it is known that the 5' loop is required for splice site selection and p220 binding, and that both the 3' stem-loop and the Sm site are important for Sm protein binding and cap methylation. The record is from Rfam by way of RNAcentral. Lineage: Eukaryota; Metazoa; Chordata; Mammalia; Carnivora; Herpestidae.